AAAAAAGCAAAGAAAGUGUUAGUAGAUACUUAUUUUCUGUCAGAGAUGGGGUGCCACCGGCUGAAAGCGCUCCUCAGUUCAGAUAAGUGUUGAGAUUCCCACUGGAGCUGCAGUUCUGAAACAAGGAGUAGGAAGUGACGUGGCUGUGCGUUAAACAGUUUCGAGUGCCUGGAGCAUAUGCUGCAGGAACAAGGGUGGUACCACGGAUUAUUGACUUCGUCCCUUUU
Molecule: non-coding RNA, 227 nt
Filed under: Bacillota bacterium
Lineage: Bacteria; Bacillati; Bacillota
Description: Firmicutes bacterium T-box sequence
Rfam family: T-box leader
About the family: Uncharged tRNA acts as the effector for transcription antitermination of genes in the T-box leader family. T-boxes are found upstream of many aminoacyl-tRNA synthetase genes and some amino acid biosynthetic genes usually in Gram-positive bacteria.
Source: RNAcentral